Oncorhynchus tshawytscha (Chinook salmon) is the source of this 1343-nucleotide long non-coding RNA. NCBI's taxonomy places the organism in Eukaryota, Metazoa, Chordata, Actinopteri, Salmoniformes, Salmonidae. The record is from Ensembl.
UGUUAAGCUGUUCUGCUUUAAAAUAUACACUUAAUUUUUUUUUACAAUUAUUAUUUUUUUUUACAAUAAAAUAAAACAUUCCAUUAAACAAUCAUGCCUUCAGACUGCGAGGAGAGAGAGAGAGAGAGAGAGAGAGAGAGAGAGAGAGAGAGAGAGAGAGAGAGAGAGAGAGAACAGUGAGUAUUAUGGAGAGGGAGAGGAAACAUAGGGAGCGAGUGAGAUAGGGAGAGACCCAGUGAUGGAAAAGCACCAGAGGAAAUGUCUUCCGCCAAUCAAAGGAAACAGUGAGGUCAGUUAUUGUGAUUGUGGGAGAAAUGGGAUAUGUCUCAAGACAAACAACAUAAUAAACAUGGUUUUAGAUUAGGAAAAAUGUAUUUUUAUCAGGGCAACCAUUUUAAAUUCUUUGUGACUUUAAUAGGACCAUAAAAUGGACAUUUGCAAUUCAGCUACAGGAAAUUUCAAAGCCUAUGCACUCAACAGUGAGUGGAUAAUAAAACAGUGAACUCGACAGAAUCCCUUUCAUGAUCCUCAAAGACCUCAUCACAAGGGAGAACACCCACACACAAAUCUGAAAUUCAGAACAUUAAAAUAGGUUAUAGAAUUCUCACAGAAGUGAUAGAAGCACAGCCCACAAAGCGGAAUGCUCUUAAUGUGGAAUAUCCAGAGAAGAUGUCAGAGAGAGGAAUGUUCAAACAGGAUGACCUGUGAGUGGCUGAGGCUGGACAGCCUGGGUGGUCUGAACGCUCCGAUCCGAGAGUACACCUCUGCAUCCGAGCUGGCGCCCCAGGACUGGUGAGGGCUAGGUGGGGUGGUGUGGAUAAUGGGCAGGGGCAGAGGGAGAGAGAGUGAGGAAGAGAGUGGGAGAAGGGGUGGAGGCAGUAGAGGAGGGGAAGAGUGGGUGGUGGGGAGACCGGUGGAGGUGGUACUGGGGUGACAACAAUAGGGGCCACAGAGUUGGCCACAGGGGUGACCUCUAUAGCAUCUCCAUUCGUGGGCAGUAUCCGGGGCAGCCUGGGGUCCUUGAGGGUGUAGGUGGCGGUGUGGUAGAAACUGUAGUACUCCAGGGCAUGUUGAGCCUGGGCCAGCCUCAGUCUGUGCCUCAGCUGGAGGAGUCUGUAGAGCAGGAUCAGUAUCAGAGCUCCAGCCACGAUCACCAGCAGCACGGCCACUCUCACAUCCAGGCUCCAGCAGCUCUGGCCUGCGCCUUGAGUGCCACAGGUCUGGGGGGAGUCAGGCUGGGGAUGGGGGUGGCCUUCCUUACUGAUAACUGUCUCCCUCAGUAAGGGUUGGAUGGAGUACAGGAGGAUGGGGUGCCUGUUCUUGGGUGCAGGCUGUGGUGGGAU